Molecule: unclassified non-coding RNA, 240 nt
Filed under: soil metagenome
Description: partial contains 5.8S ribosomal RNA, internal transcribed spacer 2, and large subunit ribosomal RNA
Source: RNAcentral
AACGCACGAGACCUGCGGACCUGCGGAGGGAUCAUCAAAGAAUUAUUUACACAGAAAAGAUUGGAGUGGGGGGUUGGAGUGAGAGAUUCGUCGCUUGCUCUCUCUUUUCCUCUGAUCUUUUCUGAACAAACAAACAUACAUGACUAGGAAAAACAAAUUGAUUUGGUUGGCAAACAAGACAAGAAGUUCUUGGCUGAUAAGUAGCAUUGAUUUGGAAUCAAUACAACUUUUAACAAUGGA